Non-coding RNA from Camellia sinensis, 420 nucleotides. The record is from RefSeq and is a predicted model, not a curated record. Lineage: Eukaryota; Viridiplantae; Streptophyta; Magnoliopsida; Ericales; Theaceae.
AAAAAACGAGAGAGGAGAGAAUUGUUUAAAAAAACAGAGAGAGUUUGUUUUGUCAUUUUUAUUUUCUUUCUUCAAUGCCUUUCACGUACUAUCUUCAUUGUCAUACUAUCUUUUAAAGCUAAAAUUAAAAAUUUCUUACUGAGAUUCCAAAGCAUACACCAUAACCGUGAGGGUGUAAAGAAGAAAGUUUGAUAAUCAGAAAAUUCACCAUUUCCUCCAAAGGAAUUCCCAAAAGAUUUUCCACAGGAGAAAAUAGAGCAGCAAACAAAUUUUUGGUGGAUGAUCUCCAAGGCCUAUUCAGUUUAUAUUUUUUCUGUUAAUUUGAGUGUUUUGUGAGGUUUUUUAUUUUUAUUUUUUAUUUUGUUGUAAUUUUUUUCCUCUCUCUCACUCGGAUUUGUAAUAUUUAAAAUGUUGUAAUAA